RNAcentral lists this long non-coding RNA (200 nucleotides) under Elaeis guineensis (African oil palm). RNAcentral's name for it is "long non-coding RNA (EGUI_LNC002791)". The record is from RNAcentral. Lineage: Eukaryota; Viridiplantae; Streptophyta; Magnoliopsida; Arecales; Arecaceae.
CUGCCCGUUUUAGAAAGACUGAUCAUUUUGUUAUUCUAUCUCACUAUUUUUUACUCUUCCAGCAUAGUGUUUUCAGUAAAACUAUCAGCGGAGAUGAUCAGUGUGGGAACAAUUCAACCGACUUUCAAUUUCGAUUCUAAAUCGGUCUCAUGAACAUAAGAUGCCGCCUAACAAUCACUUGACCGACCUACAAUCGGCUA